AGAUUACGUUCGCGUCAUUUUGGUCGUCGUUGUCUUUUUGCAUUCGAAAAUGCAUCCUGGCUCUCGAGAGGUAGAAAGAACUUUCAACUUUGUUUUUUCACGGAAAAAAUUGCUGUAGAUGUUACAUCAAUAUUCUCUAUAUUUGGAAAAGAAAUGCACGUGAAUUUAUAUAAUUUAAGUUAUAUUGAUGUUGACAUGGCAUACAUCUGUUAAGGUGGCGCCACCGAGACGUGCGUAGGCGCCUGGACUGCCAUGGAGUAACCUCGGUUUGAGAAACUGGCUCGGGAUGGCGAUACAGAGUGUAUACGCUGCAGUGCAUGCAGUUUCGUUAAACGAUUUGCGUAAUGCAAACUGACUUAUUGCACGUUCAGUUUCAAAUAUGUUUCAUCGAAAAUACAGACGAACCUCGAUAACUCGAACCUUUACAACUCGAAAAUCUCUAAGAUGAAAAUUUUGUUCAUUACUUUCCGCUUUAUUGCGAAAAACAUCUAUAAAUCGAAAUAAAACCUA
Wasmannia auropunctata (little fire ant) is the source of this 510-nucleotide long non-coding RNA. RefSeq lists it as uncharacterized. The record is from RefSeq and is a predicted model, not a curated record. The transcript has 2 exons. Lineage: Eukaryota; Metazoa; Arthropoda; Insecta; Hymenoptera; Formicidae.